UGGUCAAGUUAUUAAGGGUGCAGGGCGGAUGCCUUGGCACUAGGAGCCGAUGAAGGACGUGAUAAGCUGCGAUAAGCUUCGGGGAGUUGCACGUAAACUUUGAUCCGAAGAUUUCCGAAUGAGGAAACUCACUUAGAGUAAUGUCUAAGUAUCAUUAAGUGAAUACAUAGCUUAAUGAGGGGAACUCAGGGAACUGAAACAUCUAAGUACCUGAAGGAAGAGAAAGAAAUUCGAUUCCGUAAGUAGCGGCGAGCGAACGCGGAUUAGCCCAAACCAAUAAAGUUUUCUUUAUUGGGGUUGCGGACAUAUCAUAACGAAGAGGUAUCGUAAUUGAAGAGGUUUGGAAAGACCCACCACAGAAGGUAAUAGUCCUGUAUGUUAAACGAGAAGACUUCAGAUAUGAUCCAGAGUACCACGGGACACGUGAAACCCUGUGGGAAGCAGGAGGGACCACCCUCCAAGGCUAAAUACUACCUAGUGACCGAUAGCGUAUAGUACCGUGAGGGAAAGGUGAAAAGAACCCCGGGAGGGGAGUGAAAUAGAACCUGAAACCCUGCACUUACAAGCUGUGGAAGCACAUUUCUUGUGUGACCGCGUACUUUUUGUAGAACGGGCCAACGAGUUACGUUAAGUAGCAAGGUUAAGCACUUAAGGUGCGGAGCCGUAGCGAAAGCGAGUUUUAACUGAGCGUUCAGUUACUUGACGUAGACCCGAAACCGGGCGACCUACCCAUGAGCAGGAUGAAGCGAAAGUAAAAUUUCGUGGAGGUCCGAACCCACGAGCGUUGAAAAGCUCGGGGAUGACUUGUGGAUAGCGGUGAAAUUCCAAUCGAGCCCGGAGAUAGCUGGUUCUCCCCGAAAUAGCUUUAGGGCUAGCCUCAAGGUGAGAGAUACGGAGGUAGAGCACUGAAUGUCCUAGGGGGUAUUGCACCUACCGAAGACUAUCAAACUCCGAAUGCCGUCAUCUUAUACUUGGGAGUCAGACUGUGGGUGAUAAGAUUCAUAGUCGAAAGGGCAACAGCCCAGAUCGUCAGCUAAGGUCCCUAAAUGUAAGUUAAGUGGUAAAGGAUGUGGGAUUGCACAGACAACCAGGAUGUUGGCUUAGAAGCAGCCACUCAUUCAAAGAGUGCGUAAUAGCUCACUGGUCGAGUGAUCCUGCGCCGAAGAUUUCCGGGGCUAAAACUUACUACCGAAGCUACGGCAUCAGUAAUGAUGGGUAGGGGAGCUUCCCAUACGGGUUGAAGCGUGACCGUAAGGACAUGUGGACAGUAUGGGAGUGAGAAUGUUGGCAUGAGUAGCGAGAUGUGGGUGAGAAUCCCACAGGCCGUAAACCCAAGGUUUCCAGGGGAAGGUUCGUCCGCCCUGGGUUAGUCGGGACCUAAGCUGAGGCCGAAAGGCGUAGGUGAUGGACAACAGGUUGAUAUUCCUGUACUACCGAUAACCGUUUGAGAGAAGGGAUGACACAGUAGGAUAAGCUAAGCACACUGUUGGUUAUGUGUGCCCAAGCAUUGAGGCAGUCAAAGUAGGCAAAUCCGCUUUGAUAAUGCUGGGAUGUGAUGGGGAGCGAAAUUUAGUAGCGAAGUAGCUGAUUUCACACUGUCAAGAAAAGUCUCUAUCGAGGUUAAAGGUACCCGUACCGCAAACCGACACAGGUGGGUGAGGAGAGUAUCCUAAGGCCAGCGAGAGAACUGUUGUUAAGGAACUCGGCAAAAUGACCCCGUAACUUAGGGAUAAGGGGUGCCACCAUCAGGUGGCCGCAGAGAAUAGGCCCAAGCGACUGUUUACCAAAAACAUAGGUUUCUGCUAAGUCGCAAGACGAUGUAUAGGAGCUGACGCCUGCCCGGUGCUGGAAGGUUAAGGGGAUCUGUUAGAGCAAUCGAAGCAGUGAACUUAAGCCCCAGUAAACGGCGGCCGUAACUAUAACGGUCCUAAGGUAGCGAAAUUCCUUGUCGGGUAAGUUCCGACCCGCACGAAAGGCGUAACGAUUUGGGCACUGUCUCAACAACAGACUCGGUGAAAUUGUAAUUCCGGUGAAGAUGCCGGAUACCUGCGACAGGACGGAAAGACCCCAUGGAGCUUUACUGUAGCUUGACAUUGGGUCUUGGUACUACAUGUACAGGAUAGGUGGGAGGCUUUGAAACCAGGACGCCAGUUUUGGCGGAGCCAUCCUUGGGAUACCACCCUUGUAGUACUGGGACUCUAACCAUAGGCCAUGAAUCUGGUCUUGGGACACUGUCAGGUGGGCAGUUUGACUGGGGCGGUCGCCUCCCAAAAGGUAACGGAGGCGCUCAAAGGUUCUCUCAGUACGGUCGGAAAUCGUACGUAGAGUGUAAAGGCAAAAGAGAGCUUGAUUGCAAGACAUACAGGUCGAGCAAGGAUGAAAAUCGGACUUAGUGAUCCGGUGGUUCUGCGUGGAAGGGCCAUCGCUCAACGGAUAAAAGCUACCCUGGGGAUAACAGGCUUAUCUCCCCCAAGAGUCCACAUCGACGGGGAGGUUUGGCACCUCGAUGUCGGCUCAUCACAUCCUGGGGCUGUAGUAGGUCCCAAGGGUUGGGCUGUUCGCCCAUUAAAGUGGUACGCGAGCUGGGUUCAGAACGUCGUGAGACAGUUCGGUCCCUAUCCGUCGCAGGCGUAGGAAAUUUGAGAAGACCUGUCCUUAGUACGAGAGGACCGGGAUGGACGUACCUCUGGUGUACCAGUUGUUCUGCCAAGGGCAUGGCUGGGUAGCUAUGUACGGAAUGGAUAAGCGCUGAAAGCAUCUAAGCGCGAAGCCAACUUCAAGAUAAGAUUUCCCACCGCAAGGGUAAGACCCCAGAAAGACUAUCUGGUUGAUAGGUCGAAGGUGUAAGUGCAGCAAUGUAUUUAGCUUAUCGAUACUAAUAGGUCGAGGACUUGACCAAU
This 2900-nucleotide ribosomal RNA is filed under the name Clostridioides difficile. RNAcentral describes it as "23S ribosomal RNA". It matches the Rfam family "Bacterial large subunit ribosomal RNA". Lineage: Bacteria; Bacillati; Bacillota; Clostridia; Peptostreptococcales; Peptostreptococcaceae. The record is from RNAcentral.